RNAcentral lists this ribosomal RNA (577 nucleotides) under Decorospora gaudefroyi. RNAcentral's name for it is "eukaryotic LSU rRNA". The stretch from base 208 to 361 matches the Rfam family "5.8S ribosomal RNA". The record is from RNAcentral. Lineage: Eukaryota; Fungi; Ascomycota; Dothideomycetes; Pleosporales; Pleosporaceae.
AACCUGCGGAAGGAUCAUUAAACCAUUAUGAAAAGUUCGCUGGGAUCGGGGAGUUGGGCAAGUCCCUCACCCAUCCCCCAGCGUGCUUAAAUAAUAUCCACCCAUGUCUUUUCUGUACUACUUGUUUCCUUGGUAGGCUCGCCUACCAGCAGGACACCCAUAAACCUUUUGUAAUUGCAGUCAGUGUCAAAAAAGCAAAUCAAUUAAAACUUUCAACAACGGAUCUCUUGGUUCUGGCAUCGAUGAAGAACGCAGCGAAAUGCGAUAAGUAGUGUGAAUUGCAGAAUUCAGUGAAUCAUCGAAUCUUUGAACGCACAUUGCGCCCUUUGGUAUUCCAAAGGGCAUGCCUGUUCGAGCGUCAUUUGUACCCUCAAGCAUUGCUUGGUGUUGGGUGUUUGUCCCUAUGGACUCGCCUUAAAUUAAUUGGCAGCCGGCCUACUGGUUCUGGAGCGCAGCACAAUGCUUGCUCCUACCACACAAAGCCUCUAUCCAUAAAGGCUAUACUAUUUACGCUUGACCUCGGAUCAGGUAGGGAUACCCGCUGAACUUAAGCAUAUCAAUAAGCGGAGGAAAAGAA